Molecule: ribosomal RNA, 253 nt
Filed under: uncultured bacterium
Lineage: Bacteria
Description: partial 16S ribosomal RNA
Rfam family: Bacterial small subunit ribosomal RNA
Source: RNAcentral
UACGAAGGGGGCUAGCGUUGCUCGGAAUCAUUGGGCGUAAAGCGCGCGUAGGUGGCCCGGUAAGUCCGCUCUGAAAGUCACAGGCUCAACCUGUGAAAGCGGGUGGAUACUGCCGGGCUAGAGUCCGGAAGAGGCGAGUGGAAUUCCUGGUGUAGCGGUGGAAUGCGCAGAUAUCAGGAGGAACACCGAUAGCGAAGGCAGCUCGCUGGGACGGUACUGACGCUGAGGCGCGAAAGCGUGGGGAGCGAACAGG